Molecule: ribosomal RNA, 524 nt
Filed under: uncultured bacterium
Lineage: Bacteria
Description: bacterial SSU rRNA
Rfam family: Bacterial small subunit ribosomal RNA
Source: RNAcentral
UGGGGAAUAUUGGACAAUGGGCCACNAGCCUGAUCCAGCAAUUCUGUGUGCACGAUGAAGGUCUUCGGAUUGUAAAGUGCUUUCAGUUGGGAAGAAGAAAGUGACGGUACCAACAGAAGAAGCGACGGCUAAAUAUGUGCCAGCAGCCGCGGUAAUACAUAUGUCGCAAGCGUUAUCCGGAUUUAUUGGGCGUAAAGCGCGUCUAGGCGGUUUACUAAGUCUGAUGUGAAAAUGCGGGGCUCAACUCCGUAUUGCGUUGGAAACUGGUAGACUAGAGUACUGGAGAGGUGGGCGGAACUACAAGUGUAGAGGUGGAAUUCGUAGAUAUUUGUAGGAAUGCCGAUGGAGAAGUCAGCUCACUGGACAGAUACUGACGCUAAAGCGCGAAAGCGUGGGGAGCAAACAGGAUUAGAUACCCUGGUAGUCCACGCCGUAAACGAUGAUCACUAGGUGUUGGGGGUCGAACCCCAGCGCCCAAGCUAACGCGAUAAGUGAUCCGCCUGGGGAGUACGCACGCAAGUGUG